GGAAUCCUGCCAACCCUGCUAAAGCUCCCCCGAUUAACCGGGCCUGGGGAGCAGGCCUUGUUUAAUGCGGGCUCAGAAAUAAGGGAGGGGCCCCCGGGAACCCACAGGCCUAACAGCCAGGACGGAGGACGCGCGGGAGCAGCGCCGGCCCAUUGGUCCGCUGGGGAAACUGAGGGCAGGGCUUUGCCCAGGUCCGCAGGCCCAGCUCCCCCACCGCCGGCUUCUGUCCCAGCCGGGACGCGCAGGCUCCCAGCAGGCCGCGCCACGGGCUGGGGGAGCCCUUAGGGGACGCGCCAUCCCAAUCCCCGGGAACGACAGUCAUCCCAGGACGUCCGCAACCUCCCGCCCCCGUUUUCCAAGAGGCGGCGGCACCUGAGGGGUUAAAAAAAAUGCAACAUCGGCGCUGCGGGCGCGGAAAGGAUGCUGCAGGGCUGGGAGCUGCGGCUGCGGGCGCCCGGGUACGGGCGGGCGGCCCAGGCUCCAGGCAGGCUCCCGCCCCCAAUCGAGACGCCCGCUCCCUCCGAGGCGGGGGAGCCCGGCGCCCCCACUCCGCGCCCGCUUUGGCGCCCUGGCUUGGGAAGGUCCCGGGCCGCGGGUCCCGAGCGCCGCGCCCUUACCUGUUACCUGGCACCAGCGCGUGUUUACCCCGCGCCCACUGCGUGCCAGGUGCUGUCGUGAGGGAUCCAGGUCCCACAGCGAGCACAACCAGGCCCCGCCCUUCCGGGCUGACAUUCUAGUGAGGGAGUCAGACGAUAUAACGCGGAACUGGCCAAAUAAUUAGAGAGAAUCCGUUCAACAGAAUACUCUGAAGCAGGAGACAAAGAAAAAAGAAAAGAAAUAUAUAGAAGACAUGAAGUUAUAUAAAGGUAUGAAAUGACCUCCUAAAUGUAUUGAGUAAAAACGAGAGAGAAUAAAGUUGGACCAUGUUACUGUUCGUGCAAAAACAAGGGCAAAUAUUAAUUGUACUUGAAGAGAAUACCUUGGAUGGAUUGGUCAAAAAGCUGGAGUAACUCAGAGCUGGGUCCACGUCCAGGCUCUGUCAUUUUUGCUGUGUGACCUUGGGUAGGUGACUUUGCCUCUCUGAGCCUGUUUCUUGAUCAGCGAAAUGGGGGUAAUAAAGAUACCGACUGCACUGGGGUACUGUGACCUUCAGCAAAACUUUCAGCAAAUGGGAAUGAAGAUUAUUUUGGGGAAGGACGGGAUGACUGAACAUUUAUGCACCUAAUAGCAUAGCAAAGGAUAUCGACAGGAGCUGUUAGAAACGUGAAACUGACAGAACCAUGUGGGCCUCAUCACAUUUCUCCACAUGAACCUUGCUUCCCAGUGAUCAAGUCUGCAAGUUCUCCCGUUGCUCACACCUCUGUACCUUUGUAUAGCUGACCCCUCUGCCAAGGACGGGCUUCUCGAAUCCUGGCCAGUGCAUCUCUUUCUUUCUUUCU
Microcebus murinus (gray mouse lemur) is the source of this 1439-nucleotide non-coding RNA. Lineage: Eukaryota; Metazoa; Chordata; Mammalia; Primates; Cheirogaleidae. The record is from RefSeq and is a predicted model, not a curated record.